Molecule: long non-coding RNA, 3674 nt
Organism: Schistocerca piceifrons (Central American locust)
Lineage: Eukaryota; Metazoa; Arthropoda; Insecta; Orthoptera; Acrididae
Exons: 3
Source: RefSeq, a predicted model, not a curated record
CACAUCUCUACUUGACAUACGAAGUCCGAAAAGGAGAGGAAGUGGGUGUUUGUGUGUUAUUAUUGUCAAACAAUGGAAAGUCGCUCGUACAUUGGGGGUGUAUGAUCUCAUAAAAAAGGAUUUGAAUCGUUUGAAUGGUUGUGCCAUGCCGGCAGCAGCUAAAUUAAUGAAAUAUGAAGAACAUAACGUACGCAGUUUGAGAAACAAGAUGUUGAAAUCUGCAUGUGGAUAGACAGUACAGUAUUGUAACAUUUCGCAUACGUGAACAAGUUGUCAGUAUAGCUUUGUUGCAGGAUAUGUUGUAAUGUUGAAUUGCAGUGUAUACGGACUCCCACUGACAGUGAAGUCAAGAAAUAUCAGUGUAGGGCUGUAAUUAUACUAAGCGUGCAAAUACUGUGAAGAAGUCCAGAUUACAAUGUCACCAAGACCCGGUAUGCCUCCAGGCACGAGUACUGACGCACCUCCAUCACCACCUCCCAGUGAACCGCCGUCACCGAGACAGAUGAAAUGUGCUGAAGGGUUGCCAGAGCCUCCUGGUCUAAAUGAAGUUGAGAUAAUUCUCAGACCUAAUCGUACCUUAAUGGGAAGGAAUUGCACAGUCGUUAAAUCAUUAAAAUUGAGAGCUACACGUUACCUUCGAACGACGAUUAAUGCUUCAAUUGAUCACUUGAAGGAGUACUUGCAGUAUUGUUUGUCACAUGACCUGCAAUGUGAUAUUAAAGUGGCAGACAUGUCUAUUUAUGUACAACCAGCACCUCAUGGCCCAAUGAUUGAAGUUAAGGGAACCCAGACAAUCCGUUGUGUCCGGUACAAGUACUGGAGGUUUAGCUUAUCACCUAUUACACUUUAUUAUUGCUGCAAGAAAGGCUGAUUUCACAGUAUUCACCUACAUUUUUCAGGCAUGAAUGUACGCUAAUGAAAAAAGGACUCUGAAAUGGAUAUUGAGACAACCCAUAAUUUAUUUAUAAAAUGAUGAGCAAUAAAAGUGUUAGUAUAAUGGUUAUGAAAACUAGAAUUUUGAGAGAUUUCACAUGUGAAAAAGAUUUGAGUAUAUGUGAGACAACUUGGGAGCACACAGAAUUUGGCUGUGCAUUAGAGAUUGUCAGUAGUGAUAAACUGUAAGUAAGUUUAAGUUAUCUUGCUAUAUUUUAUCAGUUGCAAGGAAUGUAAGACCUAUUCAUUUGUAUAAAGAAAGUGGUCUCUUGUACAUAAUUACUAGUCAGAAUUCAUAUAUUACUGGAAAAUAUAUUAUUUGAAACCAAACAUAGAACACUUGACACAGUCUAGUUACCCCCAAGACUAAACAUAUACCAAGUUAAAUAUUUCUAUAACAGACCUCAUCUAAAUGCUUUCCUCACUUCUUGAAACUAAAUGCAGGUAGUCUACAAGACUAGUUACCGUAUAUCCUUUUUCCUUGAUUUUCAUUCUUUCAUUCUCUCCUUCAAUUCCUUUUGUCUGAUCUUUUAACCUGUUGUAGGUAAUGAUAUUCCAUAUUUGUCUGGAACCAUAACUGUAGGGUCAUGUAGCAGCAAUAAUAUAAGGCCUUGAUGACAACAGAAACAGUCAUUGACUGCUCUAGGGUAACUUUACUGAUUGAAAUUUCAGUGCUAUUCAUUCACAAUGAGACAAUCCCAAACAUGCAUAAUAAUAAAACCCUUUAUAGUCACAAUUUCUACUGGAAGAGACAGACUGAUUAUAGGAAGUGAGAGAGAGAAUCUGUAACAUAUCUUGCUCUGCUGUGACAAUUGGGAGACUGCACAUUUCAGCUGUUGACUAAAUUAAAAAAGCCAACCCCAGUAAAUGAGCAUAUUUGCUGCUCACUAAAAAGUAUUUUAUCAAAGUAACAUUUCCAGUCUAGGAAUAUAACACUGUUGUGGUAUAUAAUAGUCCAGUGUAGUCAUUCACAUCCUAAAAGUGCAUACUAAAUCUAAUGCUAAACAGUAAUCAAAAUAAUAUCCAUUUAAAGUCUAGAAUCUUGUGCAAGUAGUUAGGUGGUUACACAUUACAACAGCUUUCUGCACAUUUUGUCUCGACACUCUUUGUUGUCAUUGCAUUAAUAAAAGAUGUGCUCAUACAACUGUAGUGUGCAUUUUCACAUAUUUGAAUGUAAUUUUUAAGCAUGUUAAUGGAGAAAAUUGUAAUAGACUGAAGUCCCAUGUUAAUAUUAACAACUUUAGAAACUCUCUCUUCCUAUCCUUUCAUUCAAUAUUAGUAGAUUUCUUAAUACUGAAUGAGUCUUCCACAAUGUGUGUACAACAUCAGUAAACAUGUAUUCAAUGGUUAAACGGUAGGCAGUUAGCUUUAAGAAGUGAUUGUGCCUCUGUUUAUGCAGUCCUUAUAAUGAACGGUGGCUGUUUAUUGUUCUGUCCAAUCAUGGUACUCUACUACAUGCACUGGUUGACUGCUAAAACUGUGCAUAUUCUGUUAGUGGGUGAUGCAUUUUUCUUAAAUUUAUCUUUUCAUGGUAUGUUACCAGCAAGAUCAAUCUUGCUGUGAGAACAUUCUCAGAUAAACACUAAAAGUGAUGAAUUUGCAUGUUUUACAUGACCACUGUUUUGUUUUUAACAAACCUAAUUCAGUUUUCAAAGGUCGACAUAUCACGUCUUCUAAAUUUUUUGGUGGUUAAGUUCAGUUUUCAUUUUUUUUAUUGUCAUCCAAAGAAGUUACUUCUGGCUUUUAUAAUCAACUGAUAAGAUAUCAGGAAAGUCAUUGUACAUGGGAAGUUCCUCACCUACAAAUAAGUAUUGUGGGUGUUAUAUAAAAAAAAAUUGUGUUCUCUCGUGCAAGUGAUUUUUGAUUUUGAUAGACCAAAUCCAACUUCAGUGAUAAUUCUACAGCAUAUGAGGUUAGCCAUACAGCAGGUAGUAUGCAUUUGAUAAUAUCUUGACUAGUGCAGCAUUGGUGCAUUUUUAAUUCUGAAUUAUAAUGCAUGUUAAAUACUUUAUCAUUGUGAGUUAGAUAUCUAACUUAAUUUGAACUAGUGUGAGUAGGAUGUGGGUAUGAAUGUGGGGAAGGGUAUGUGGAAAGAGGCUAUUGAAAAUGAUUGUCAUAUGUUAAUCAUUGCAGUUAAUAAGAUUCAUCAUCUUAUGGGGUAUCCAUUGCAAUACUUCUGGAUGAGUGAUAAUAUCAGAAUCUUUAACAAUACAGUACUCUGUAAGUAGACAAGAUUAGAGAAACAGAUGUAUGCAAGCACUCAAUCUGUUAUAAGAAAUUUGAAUUUUACUGCCUUGACAUUUGCUUGUAGCUAAACAUGAAAGAUGUUGUUAAUACUUACAGCAAUUUACAAACUGAUUGACUAAAAAUUAUGGUAUUAAAAAGUAGAGUUUGAGUCAAAGAACAAUUAUUUAAUCUGAUUGGAUUAUUAGUACACUGGUCAGCUUUAUUAAUUUAAUUUUAAUAAUAGAAACUAGUACAUUCUGAAAUCCACUAUAAUUCCUCUAACUGCAAUGCAGUACAGAAUCAAAUACAUUAAUUUUUCCUUCUUAUAAGCCUAUAUAUAUUGUUGUUGUUGUUUUCUGUCUGAAGACUGAUUUGAUGCCGCUCUCCAUACUACACCAUCCUGUGCAUGCUUUUUUAUCUCCAAAUAACUACUGCAAUCUACAUCCUUUCAAAUCUGCUUACUGUGUUAAUCUCUCUCUACAAUCUCCCUCCCCCCCCCCCCCCCUCCCCCUCCC